AGCCUCAUACAAAUUCAGUGGUAUGAAUGCAUACCCUUAAAGUACCCACACAACAAGCGUCCUGUCAAUAUAUCAUAUUCAAAUUCUGAAAGCAUUUAUACACUGUAUUCAGGACAUCUUUAAGGUUGACUCGUAAAUCAAACACCGCAUUUGUCCGUAGACAUAGAUGUGAGAGCGAGUCAUUUAAAACUAUCCACUAU
RNAcentral lists this long non-coding RNA (200 nucleotides) under Hordeum vulgare. RNAcentral describes it as "long non-coding RNA (HVUL_LNC010949)". The record is from RNAcentral. Lineage: Eukaryota; Viridiplantae; Streptophyta; Magnoliopsida; Poales; Poaceae.